AUCUCUGAACAAAGCUGUUUACCAUUGUUUUAUUUUCCAGCAUAAAAAAGGGGAACGCACCUAUGGUGCAGAGGGCUGGGGAGAGCUAACGCCAGUCACUUUGCGUUCUGGGACACGCUGGACGGAAGAGUCAGCUGGUGCAUGAGGGCUCUGUGAGGUUCGACCACAUGGUCUUUAAGGUUUCUGCCGGCUGUGAAAUUCUGUGACUUGGGGAAUCACUGAGAAGCAGAUAGAAAGAAGAUCAGACUCAUCCUGGCAGAGUUGGCACAGAUAUUCAAGAUGUAGUCCCCUGGAGGAAACUGGAGCCCAUGAUCAUGACCCUCCUGGCUCAUGCCCCUGGCCGGUGAUGGCUCU
Molecule: long non-coding RNA, 354 nt
Filed under: Rhinopithecus bieti (black snub-nosed monkey)
Lineage: Eukaryota; Metazoa; Chordata; Mammalia; Primates; Cercopithecidae
Description: lncRNA (ENSRBIG00000046134.1)
Source: RNAcentral